This 833-nucleotide ribosomal RNA is filed under the name uncultured Bacillota bacterium. Its description in RNAcentral is "bacterial SSU rRNA". It matches the Rfam family "Bacterial small subunit ribosomal RNA", at positions 73 to 884 of the family's 1533-position model. The record is from RNAcentral. Lineage: Bacteria; Bacillati; Bacillota.
AGCCCCGCAAGGGGUGAGUAGAGUGGCAAACGGGUGAGUAACACGUGGGUGACCUGCCUUCGAGCGGGGGAUAACGUCCCGAAAGGGACGCUAAUACCGCAUGACAUCCUGCGUUUGGAAACGCGGUGACUAAAGCCGGGGAUCGCAAGACCUGGCGCUUGAAGAGGGGCCCGCGCCUGAUUAGCUAGUUGGUGAGGUAACGGCUCACCAAGGCGACGAUCAGUAGCCGGCCUGAGAGGGCGGACGGCCACACUGGGACUGAGACACGGCCCAGACUCCUACGGGAGGCAGCAGUGGGGAAUUGUUCGCAAUGGGCGCAAGCCUGACGACGCAACGCCGCGUGGAGGACGAAGAUCUUCGGGUCGUAAACUCCUUUCGAUCGGGAAGAACGGCCUCCGGGUGAACAAUCCGGGGGAGUGACGGUACCGAGAGAAGAAGCCCCGGCUAACUCCGUGCCAGCAGCCGCGGUAAUACGGGGGGGGCAAGCGUUGUUCGGAAUUACUGGGCGUAAAGGGCCAGUAGGCGGCCAACUAAGUCCGACGUGAAAUCCCCAGGCUUAACUUGGGAACUGCGUCGGAUACUGGAUGGCUUGAAUUCGGGAGAGGGAUGCAGAAUUCCAGGUGUAGCGGUGAAAUGCGUAGAUAUCUGGAGGAAUACCGGUGGCGAAGGCGGCAUCCUGGACCGACAUUGACGCUGAACGGCGAAAGCUAGGGGAGCAAACGGGAUUAGAUACCCCGGUAGUCCUAGCCCUAAACGAUGAAUGCUUGGUGUGACGGGUAUCGAUCCCUGUCGUGCCGAAGCUAACGCAUUAAGCAUUCCGCCUGGGGAGUACG